Neomonachus schauinslandi (Hawaiian monk seal) is the source of this 94-nucleotide long non-coding RNA. RefSeq lists it as uncharacterized. Lineage: Eukaryota; Metazoa; Chordata; Mammalia; Carnivora; Phocidae. The record is from RefSeq and is a predicted model, not a curated record. The transcript has 3 exons.
CUACUGAGGAUGCUGCAGACACCUCAGAUGCAGAUGCAGAGAAACUACCAGACUUCCAGACACUAUAGCAUGGUGAACAAAAUGUUUCUGGUAA